CUGGCGGCAUGCUUUACACAUGCAAGUCGAACGGCAGCGGGGAAGUGCUUGCACUUCUGCCGGCGAGUGGCGAACGGGUGAGUAAUAUAUUGGAACGUACCGAGUAGCGGGGGAUAACUGUCCGAAAGGAUGGCUAAUACCGCAUACGCUCUGAGGAGGAAAGCUGGGGACCUUCGGGCCUGGCACUAUUCGAGCGGCCAAUAUCUGAUUAGCUAGUUGGUGGGGUAAGAGCCCACCAAGGCGACGAUCAAUAGCGGGUCUGAGAGGAUGAUCCGCCACACUGGAACUGAGACACGGUCCAAACUCCUACGGGAGGCAGCAGUGGGGAAUUUUGGACAAUGGGGGCAACCCUGAUCCAACCAUGCCGGGUGUCUGAAGAAGGCCUUCGGGUUGUAAAGUACUUUUGUUGGGGAAGAAAAGCCUGGCGUUAAUAGC
This 435-nucleotide ribosomal RNA is filed under the name bacterium N15. Its description in RNAcentral is "bacterial SSU rRNA". It matches the Rfam family "Bacterial small subunit ribosomal RNA", at positions 36 to 467 of the family's 1533-position model. The record is from RNAcentral.